Solanum lycopersicum (tomato) is the source of this 106-nucleotide non-coding RNA. The record is from Rfam. NCBI's taxonomy places the organism in Eukaryota, Viridiplantae, Streptophyta, Magnoliopsida, Solanales, Solanaceae.
GUUCCUUUGUGAACAUCCGAUAUAAUUGAAACGAUAUAAAGAAUAUACACAUGAUAACUCCUACGCAAAAAUGAGAUGUUUGAAUCAAGAAAUCUUUCAAAUUUUU